Molecule: non-coding RNA, 98 nt
Organism: Acanthosepion pharaonis
Lineage: Eukaryota; Metazoa; Mollusca; Cephalopoda; Sepiida; Sepiidae
Source: the annotation of a GenBank genome assembly
UUGAAAAACUGGUUCCCAUAUGAUCACUGAAGUUAAGCAAUACCUAUGCUGGUCAGUACUUAGAUGGGUGACUGCUUGAGAAUACCAUGCACUGUAAG